Molecule: long non-coding RNA, 735 nt
Organism: Mirounga angustirostris (Northern elephant seal)
Lineage: Eukaryota; Metazoa; Chordata; Mammalia; Carnivora; Phocidae
Exons: 4
Source: RefSeq, a predicted model, not a curated record
CUACGGCACUGCUGGGCCGCGGCCCGCCGCCGGUCCUCCCACUCCAGCCACUCCCGCUGUAGCCGGAGAGCCCGCCGCGUGGAGGAGUGCCCCUCACCGGGACCAGCCCAGCCUCCUGGUGUUCCUUUCUCUGGCCACAGCCUCUCGGCUCUGCCGCCCAGGUGGCAGGAUCUGUCGAAGACGGUUCAUUUCCUAGCUCGAAAACUUCUGCUGACUUCCAACAUCAUCCCUCUCCAGGAGACAGAGUCCAAUAGAGGGCAUCCUGGAAUAUGCCUGACCCGUACUCUUUGCAGCUAUCAGAGUCAUGAAAAACGAGGACAGCCUGAGGAAAUGCCAGAGCCAAGAGGAGCCUAAGGAGGCACGGCAACUAAAUGGAAUGUGGGGUCCUGGAACAGAAAAAGGACGACAGGGAAACUGAAGACAUCUGAAUAAAGCAUGAAGUUCGGUUCAUAGUAAUGUCCCAACACUGGCUGAAGAAGAAGAAGAAGAAGAAAAGCUUUUAAUAAUCUGCACACUAGGGGCGCCUGGGUGGCUCAGUCGUUAAGUGUCUGCCUUCGGCUCAGGUCAUGAUCCCAGGGUCCUGGGAUCAAGCCCUACAUCGGGCUCCCUGCUCCGCGGGAAGCCUGCUUCUUCCUCUCCCACUCCCCCUGCUUGUGUUCCCUCUCUCGCUGUGUCUCUCUGUCAAAUAAAUAAAUAAAAUCUAAAAAAACCCAAAACACCAACUAUCUGCACACU